CCCGCUGAACUUAAGCAUAUUAUUAAGCGGAGGAAAAGAAACUAACAAGGAUGCCCUCAGUAACGGCGAGUGAAGCGGGCAAAGCUCAACCUGAAAAUCGGUGUUCCAAACGGGACCUCGAAUUGUGGGCUAGAGACGCUGGAUCAGUGUGUGACCUAGGUAUAACUCUUUUGAAACAAGGGAUCAUAGAGGGUGAGAAUCCCGUCUGUGACCUAGAGUUCGCCGCGUACGAUCCGUGUUCAUAGAGUCGAGUUGUUUGGGAUUGCAGCUCUAAAUGGGAGGUAAAUUUCUUCUAAAGCUAAAUACCGACGAGAGACCGAUAGCGAACAAGUACCGUGAGGGAAAGAUGAAAAGAACUUUGAAAAGAGAGUUAAAAAGUACCUGAAAUUGCUAAGAGAGAAGCACUGGAAACCAGUCGUGAUUCGCGUGGAUACUUACUAAUGACCGUUAGAUAGUUUUGUACUUUGGAGCCCAAAGCCCAUGUACUCUGUUGUCGAAGCGGUCGUUGGGUCCUGUCCUGUGAAUCGGAUCAGAAUCAGUUUGAUUUGGGAGAGAAAGCUAUGUGCAUCGUUGUGUGUGUUAGGGAAACUUAACUAUCACAAGAGCGGUAGUGCUAUCCCAGGUUAGACUGAGGGACAAUCGAAAUGCGCACCACUAGGUUAUCGACUCCCCGACCCUGGAUUACUAGUUGACGUGUACAACAAGUUGUGCUGUUGGCGAAGUUUUCUACUGGAAAGGAUGAGCCAGAUGCAGCAUUCGAGAUUCUGAUGAAAUGGUUUUCAUUGACCCGUCUUGAAACACGG
This 803-nucleotide ribosomal RNA is filed under the name uncultured fungus. RNAcentral describes it as "eukaryotic LSU rRNA". It matches the Rfam family "Eukaryotic large subunit ribosomal RNA", at positions 24 to 664 of the family's 3401-position model. The record is from RNAcentral. Lineage: Eukaryota; Fungi.